RNAcentral lists this ribosomal RNA (374 nucleotides) under uncultured organism. Its description in RNAcentral is "partial 16S ribosomal RNA". It matches the Rfam family "Bacterial small subunit ribosomal RNA", at positions 527 to 896 of the family's 1533-position model. The record is from RNAcentral.
GUAGGUGGCAAGCGUUGUCCGGAAUUAUUGGGCGUAAAGCGCGCGCAGGCGGUUCUUUAAGUCUGAUGUGAAAGCCCACGGCUCAACCGUGGAGGGUCAUUGGAAACUGGAGAACUUGAGUACAGAAGAGGAAAGCGGAAUUCCACGUGUAGCGGUGAAAUGCGUAGAGAUGUGGAGGAACACCAGUGGCGAAGGCGGCUUUCUGGUCUGUAACUGACGCUGAGGCGCGAAAGCGUGGGGAGCAAACGAGGAUUAGAUACCCGUGGUAGUCCACGCCGUAAACGAUGAGUGCUAAGUGUUAGGGGGUUUCCGCCCCCCUUAGUGCUGCAGCUAACGCAUUAAGCACUCCGCCUGGGAGUACGGCCGCAAGGCUG